Molecule: ribosomal RNA, 229 nt
Filed under: uncultured bacterium
Lineage: Bacteria
Description: partial 16S ribosomal RNA
Rfam family: Bacterial small subunit ribosomal RNA
Source: RNAcentral
UUCGCAGGGGGUUUGCCAAGUCUGAUGUGAAAUCUCACGGCUCAACCGUGAAACUGCAUUGGAUACUGGCGAACUAGAGUCCAUGAUGGGAGAGCGGAAUUCCUGGUGUAGCGGUGGAAUGCGUAGAUAUCAGGAAGAACACCGAUGGCGAAGGCGGCUCUUUGGCAUGGUACUGACCCUCAGGGACGAAAGCGUGGGGAGCAAACAGGAUUAGAUACCCUGGUAGUCC